GGCGAACGCUGGCGGCGUGCCUAAUACAUGCAAGUCGAGCGGACCGGCUUGGGGCUUGCCUUGAUUCGGUCAGCGGCGGACGGGUGAGUAACACGUGGGCAACCUGCCCGCAAGACCGGGAUAACUCCGGGAAACCGGAGCUAAUACCGGAUAACACCGAAGACCGCAUGGUCUUCGGUUGAAAGGCGGCCUUUGUGCUGUCACUUGCGGAUGGGCCCGCGCCGAAUUAGCUAGUUGGGGGGGUAACGGCCCACCAAGGCAACGAGGGGUAGCCGCCCGGGGGGGGGGGUCGGCCACCUGGGACUGGGACACGGCCCCGGAUCCUACGGGGGGGAGCAGGAGGGAAUCCUCCGGAAAGGGGGAAAGGCCGGCGGGGGGACGGCGGGGGAGCGGAGAAGGCCCUCGGGUCGGAAAGCUCUGUUUUGAGGGACGAAAGAGAGUCGUUCGAAGAGGGGGGCGCGGUGACGGUACCUAACGAGAAAGCCCCGGCUAACUACGUG
This 500-nucleotide ribosomal RNA is filed under the name uncultured bacterium. RNAcentral describes it as "partial 16S ribosomal RNA". It matches the Rfam family "Bacterial small subunit ribosomal RNA", at positions 28 to 507 of the family's 1533-position model. The record is from RNAcentral.